GAUCAUGAGUCCCAACGCGAAGCUCUGGCUGGUUGGGCGGCAACCCUCUCCCGUAGCGGGGUGCCCCAGAUGACGAUCCGGUCGACCGGCAAGACCGCCGGCGGCAAGUACGGCGC
RNAcentral lists this non-coding RNA (116 nucleotides) under Arthrobacter sp. Its description in RNAcentral is "SAM-IV sequence". It matches the Rfam family "SAM (S-adenosyl methionine) riboswitch aptamer". From Rfam's summary of the family: SAM-IV is a mRNA element that regulates gene expression via direct sensing of S-adenosylmethionine (SAM or AdoMet). SAM-IV riboswitches share conserved nucleotide positions with the previously described SAM-I riboswitches sequence analysis and molecular recognition experiments suggest that SAM-I and SAM-IV riboswitches share similar ligand binding sites, but have different scaffolds. The record is from RNAcentral. RNAcentral also lists the same sequence under 1 other name. Lineage: Bacteria; Bacillati; Actinomycetota; Actinomycetes; Micrococcales; Micrococcaceae.